RNAcentral lists this ribosomal RNA (433 nucleotides) under uncultured bacterium. RNAcentral's name for it is "partial 16S ribosomal RNA". It matches the Rfam family "Bacterial small subunit ribosomal RNA", at positions 29 to 507 of the family's 1533-position model. The record is from RNAcentral.
AACGAACGCUGGCGGCAUGCCUAACACAUGCAAGUCGAACGAGACCUUCGGGUCUAGUGGCGCACGGGUGCGUAACGCGUGGGAACCUGCCCUUAGGUUCGGAAUAACUCCCCGAAAGGGGUGCUAAUACCGGAUAAUGUCUUCGGACCAAAGAUUUAUCGCCCUUGGAUGGGCCCGCGUUGGAUUAGCUAGUUGGUAGGGUAAAAGCCUACCAAGGCGACGAUCCAUAGCUGGUCUGAGAGGAUGAUCAGCCACACUGGGACUGGGACACGGCCCAGACUCCUACGGGAGGCAGCAGUGGGGGAUAUUGGACAAUGGGCGGAAGGCUGAUCCAGCACUGCCGCGUGAGUGAUGAAGGCCUUAGAGUUGUAAAGCUCUUUUACCCGGGAUGAUAAUGACAGUACCGGGAGAAUAAGCUCCGGCUAACUCCGUG